GGGUAUAGCUCAAGUGGUAGAGUGCAUGCUUAGCAUGCACGAGGUCCUGGGUUCAAUCCCCAGUACCC
Molecule: transfer RNA, 68 nt
Filed under: Camelus bactrianus (Bactrian camel)
Lineage: Eukaryota; Metazoa; Chordata; Mammalia; Artiodactyla; Camelidae
Also listed under: 1 other name
Rfam family: tRNA
About the family: Transfer RNA (tRNA) molecules are approximately 80 nucleotides in length. Their secondary structure includes four short double-helical elements and three loops (D, anti-codon, and T loops). Further hydrogen bonds mediate the characteristic L-shaped molecular structure. tRNAs have two regions of fundamental functional importance: the anti-codon, which is responsible for specific mRNA codon recognition, and the 3' end, to which the tRNAs corresponding amino acid is attached (by aminoacyl-tRNA synthetases). tRNAs cope with the degeneracy of the genetic code in two manners: having more than one tRNA (with a specific anti-codon) for a particular amino acid; and 'wobble' base-pairing, i.e. permitting non-standard base-pairing at the 3rd anti-codon position.
Source: Rfam by way of RNAcentral